GGGUCGAUGGCGAAGUUGGUUAUCGCAUCCGUCUCACAAUUUCCUCAAUUAUUGUACACACGGAAGGUCCUCAGUUCGAUCCUGGGUCGACCCA
Desarmillaria tabescens is the source of this 94-nucleotide non-coding RNA. Lineage: Eukaryota; Fungi; Basidiomycota; Agaricomycetes; Agaricales; Physalacriaceae. The record is from the annotation of a RefSeq genome assembly.